UACGGAGGAUGCGAGCGUUAUCCGGAUUUAUUGGGUUUAAAGGGUGCGUAGGCGGAUCGUUAAGUCAGUGGUCAAAUUGAGGGGCUCAACCCCUUCCCGCCAUUGAAACUGGCGAUCUUGAGUGGAAGAGAAGUAUGCGGAAUGCGUGGUGUAGCGGUGAAAUGCAUUGAUAUCACGCAGAACCCCGAUUGCGAAGGCAGCAUGCCGGCUUCCGACUGACGCUGAAGCACGAAAGCGUGGGGAUCGAACAGG
This 252-nucleotide ribosomal RNA is filed under the name uncultured bacterium. Its description in RNAcentral is "partial 16S ribosomal RNA". It matches the Rfam family "Bacterial small subunit ribosomal RNA", at positions 524 to 776 of the family's 1533-position model. The record is from RNAcentral.